This 302-nucleotide small RNA is filed under the name Demospongiae sp. GW33593. RNAcentral's name for it is "partial large subunit ribosomal RNA". The record is from RNAcentral. Lineage: Eukaryota; Metazoa; Porifera; Demospongiae.
AGCCGUAUGGGGCUGUACCGUCGGUUUUGGGURRUAAAUCGUCCUGCACUCCCMCUAAAUGUCCGGCCAVCGUCGGUUUGGUUUGGCUCUUGCGGACGGUCGGGUAGGUACCUCACUGUGCGGUUUCGGCGUGCGCAGGGAGAACUUAAAGCCGGUCGUUUUUUUGCAGUUGAACGUAGCGRACCGAGGAGACGUGUGCCAAUUCACACAGGCAGAGCAUGCCCGCCGUUUCUGCGGUGGGCCGGACCGCUUCUAAUCGUUGAGUAGGCGCUGCUGGGACUGUUUGCCAGUGCCAGUUGACG